Limanda limanda (common dab) is the source of this 379-nucleotide non-coding RNA. NCBI's taxonomy places the organism in Eukaryota, Metazoa, Chordata, Actinopteri, Pleuronectiformes, Pleuronectidae. The record is from the annotation of a RefSeq genome assembly.
CACCAUGACUCUCAUCAACCUCCUCAUCUGGACGCUGGCCUGCUGCAGCUUCACAGGAUGCAGCGGCCAGAUGACUGUGACUCAGCCUCCAGUCGUGACAUUUACUCCAGGAUCCACUGUCAUGCUGACCUGUAACACCAACCCCAAAGUUCAGAGUUGUGGUUCUGGUGAUUGUGUAUCCUGGUACCAGCAGAAACCUGGACAGGCUCCCAAGCUUCUUAUAUACUAUGUAUCAACUCUAUAUUCAGGAACUUCCUCUCGAUUCAGUGGCAGUAGCUCUGGUUCUAGGUACACCUUAACCAUCAGCGGUGUUAAGGCAGAAGAUGUUGGAGAUUAUUACUGUCAGAGUUAUCCUAGCACUGGAGUGUUCACACAGUGA